UCUGUGUAUGCUUACGGGGAGACCGGCCACGGCAUAGCCAAAGAACAGAACAGCUCUUCUUUGUGUGGAUGUGUUCACUCUUCUUUCUUUCUUUCCCUCUUGUUCUCUCUUUCUUUCUUUCUCUCUCUUUCGUUCUCUUUCUACCCUUGUCUCUCUCACGCACACACUCGCUCGCUCACUCACUCACUCACUCACUCACUCGCUCUGUGUCUCUAAUUCUCGCCCUCUCACACACUCUCUCUUUCUCUCACUCACUCACUCGCUCGUUUGCUCGUUCGCUCUGUCUCUCUCUGCCACAGUGGAGGACAAAGCGAGGGAGUGGAUGCCCCAGAGAGAGAGAGAGAGAGAGAGAGAGAGAGAGAGAGAGAGGGAGAGAGAGAAGAAAGAAAUGAGAGAACAAAACAACAGAGGGAAAUAGCUAUGAAAUAGUGAGGAGCAGAGGAGAGCAGCACGCCUGCCUGCCUGUCCGUCCGGUAGCUAUGGUGUGUCUGAGCGCGCUGGAAGGCUGGAAAACCGAGUGAGGAGAAGGAGACGAAGUGGAGGAGGAGGAGGAAAGGAGGAGGAGAGGAGAGAAGAAGAGAGGAACGGAGGAACGGAGAGGAGAGGAGAGGAGAAGAGAGGACAGGAGAGGAGCUGCUUGCUGCUCCAUAGCCGAGGAGAGAGCUAAGGGGUGUGUAAACAAACCGGCCGGAGCUGGAGAGUGUGACACAUACACACACACGCACACACUGACGACGCCUCGCUCCUCAGAUGCGGACCAGCACACAGGCCUCUGAGACCUGAGGGUCGUUUGAGAUUGGAGUGAGACAGGAGAGGAGUGAGACAGGAGAGGAGUGAGAUAUCUCUUCACUACUACCGCCAUGGCACA
Engraulis encrasicolus (European anchovy) is the source of this 868-nucleotide long non-coding RNA. RefSeq lists it as uncharacterized. The record is from RefSeq and is a predicted model, not a curated record. NCBI's taxonomy places the organism in Eukaryota, Metazoa, Chordata, Actinopteri, Clupeiformes, Engraulidae. The transcript has 3 exons.